RNAcentral lists this ribosomal RNA (472 nucleotides) under uncultured bacterium. Its description in RNAcentral is "bacterial SSU rRNA". It matches the Rfam family "Bacterial small subunit ribosomal RNA", at positions 355 to 825 of the family's 1533-position model. The record is from RNAcentral.
UGGGGAAUAUUGGACAAUGGGGGAAACCCUGAUCCAGCGACGCCGCGUGUGUGAAGAAGGCCUGCGGGUUGUAAAGCACUUUCGGUGGGAACGAAAUAUGCCGGGCUAAUACCCCGGUAGGCUGACGUUACUCAAUGAAGAAGCACCGGCUAACUCUGUGCCAGCAGCCGCGGUAAUACAGAGGGUGCGAGCGUUAAUCGGAAUUACUGGGCGUAAAGCGCACGUAGGUGGCGACGUAAGUCGGGUGUGAAAGCCCCGGGCUCAACCUGGGAACCGCAUUCGAGACUGCGUUGCUGGAGUACGGAAGAGGAGGGCGGAAUUCCCGGUGUAGCGGUGAAAUGCGUAGAUAUCGGGAGGAAUACCGAUGGCGAAGGCAGCCCCCUGGGAUAACACUGACGCUCAUGCACGAAAGCGUGGGGAGCAAACAGGAUUAGAUACCCAGGUAGUCCCUGAGCGGGCUGGCAAGGCGCAU